GUCAGAGGCGAUGAAGGGCGUACUAAUCUGCGAUAAGCGCCGGUAAGGUGAUAUGAACCGUUAUAACCGGCGAUACCCGAAUGGGGAAACCCAGUGUGAUUCGUCACACUAUCAUUAACUG
Molecule: ribosomal RNA, 121 nt
Filed under: Salmonella enterica subsp. enterica serovar Enteritidis
Lineage: Bacteria; Pseudomonadati; Pseudomonadota; Gammaproteobacteria; Enterobacterales; Enterobacteriaceae
Description: partial 23S ribosomal RNA
Rfam family: Bacterial large subunit ribosomal RNA
Source: RNAcentral